UUUGUCUCUACUCAGUACAGACCCUUAAAGCUGUGCAGACUGUGUUAGUCUUUUCCAUCUGUUCAUUUAACCAAGGUGCUGAGCAUGUUUGCCUCCAGAGGAAGAAACAUAGGCAGCUGCAAGAGAACAGGUAUGACCACGAGCAGACAACAGCACUCAUUUGGGUAUCAAGGACACAGAAGAAAAUGAACUCCAGAGAUAGCUCCUGCCUUACAGCUCUGCAGGGGACACUCAUGUGGACUCCCCAAGUUAGGGAAGAUGUGGGUUUCAGAAGCUCUCAAAGCUUUGUACCCAAGUCUGCUUCUGAAUGGAUCAUUCUGACAGAUACUGAAGGGCACAGAUUUGAGGUGGUGGGAUUUCAACACCAUGGAAGAUGGUAACAUCAUAUUCUUACAUCAACUGAAAUAAUGGGGGAAAGGGGAAGUCUUGAUUUUUCUUGGCAUGAUUGAAUGAGAAGGGGGGUAAAACAUGACAAAAAAGCAGCUGACAGCCAUGUCAAAGAUUUGGCCUUUCCUGCACUAUGAAAAAGGCUUUUAAUUACUCAGCUCAGCCUGGACCAGAGAAAUCCUCAACUUAAAAGUUACUGCCUGAAGAAAGAGAUAAUAAGGAUGAGGGGCUGGGGGUUCUCUUCCUCAGUGUUUCCCUGACCUAUGUGCAUCAGAUGUUGGACUGCAAGGGCAAGUCCCAUUUUGCCCACUGCAGCUUGCGUCAUGCACAGCCUGAAUGCAGGGCAAGAUCUCUGCAGGAGUGAUACCAUGGGGCUACAGCACAGCAGCCAAGUAGCUGGCAUUGGGUAAAGAAAGAAUGAUAAGAACCAUAAAUGUGUGCCACAUCUCAGCUACUACCUCCAUCAGGUGAUGGAAGAUGCUGCCAAUACACACUCAUAUAUACUAUAAAUGUUAGAACAUGUGACAUAGAAUCAUAGAACAGUUUGGGUUGGAAGGGACCUUAAAUUUAGUUUCAACCCCCUGCUGCGAGCAGACACCUUC
This is a long non-coding RNA of Pezoporus occidentalis (night parrot), 989 nucleotides long. RefSeq lists it as uncharacterized. The record is from RefSeq and is a predicted model, not a curated record. The transcript is spliced from 3 exons. NCBI's taxonomy places the organism in Eukaryota, Metazoa, Chordata, Aves, Psittaciformes, Psittacidae.